This is a long non-coding RNA of Etheostoma spectabile (orangethroat darter), 285 nucleotides long. RefSeq lists it as uncharacterized. NCBI's taxonomy places the organism in Eukaryota, Metazoa, Chordata, Actinopteri, Perciformes, Percidae. The record is from RefSeq and is a predicted model, not a curated record. The transcript has 2 exons.
GGCUUAAUGUCCAUAGUGAAAUAAGCUAGCUAGCUACUAGACUAGUGUUAGCCUACAUUUAAUCACCAUUUAAUCAGUGCAGGGAAACGUUUAGAAAGAUAUUCAUAUUAAAUCAUUGUCCCUGCCCCUUUUGGCGGACUUAACAGAUGAGUCAGCAGCACCCCAGUCUCCCCCUGACCAUGUCUCUCCCUGUCCCAGUAAAGCAACAUUGUGUUCAAUGACAUGCCGGUUAGCAUCAUUGCAGGGAGUCUGUUGGGAUUUCUCUGUCUCUCUUUUACCAUUACA